UGCAACUGUACAAUGACAAUAGUAGGAUUAUAGGGGUCUAUAAACCUACUAAUAUAAGGUACAGCUGCAUC
Acyrthosiphon pisum (pea aphid) is the source of this 71-nucleotide non-coding RNA. Lineage: Eukaryota; Metazoa; Arthropoda; Insecta; Hemiptera; Aphididae. The record is from RefSeq and is marked provisional.